This 301-nucleotide ribosomal RNA is filed under the name uncultured bacterium. RNAcentral describes it as "partial 16S ribosomal RNA". It matches the Rfam family "Bacterial small subunit ribosomal RNA", at positions 509 to 807 of the family's 1533-position model. The record is from RNAcentral.
CAGCAGCCGCGGGAAUACGUAGGGUCCGAGCGUUGUCCGGAAUUACUGGGCGUAAAGAGCUCGUAGGUGGUUUGUCGCGUUGUUCGUGAAAACUCACAACUCAAUUGUGGGCGUGCGGGCGAUACGGGCAGACUGGAGUACUGCAGGGGAGACUGGAAUUCCUGGUGUAGCGGUGGAAUGCGCAGAUAUCAGGAGGAACACCGGUGGCGAAGGCGGGUCUCUGGGCAGUAACUGACGCUGAGGAGCGAAAGCGUGGGGAGCGAACAGGAUUAGAGACCCCCGUAGUCCCUGUCUCUUAUAC